GGGGGGGGGGGGGGGGGGGGGGGGGGGGGGGGGGGGGGGGGGGGGGGGGGGGGGGGGGGGGGGGGGGGGGGGGGGGGGGGGCGCGCCUGUUGUUUGUUUCUUCAUCAGCGGAUUAAGAUUCGCGGUCGUUCCCCGCUGCCAUUGGCUGCGCUGUGGUGACGUCGCCUCAUUUGCAUAUGACAUUGAGACGUCACAGCGCUUCCCCCCUUGUCCCGCCGCGACCCCGCCGGCCCGGGGCGAUGCCGGUGCCGGUGGCGAGCGUGGCGCGGGGGACCCGCCCGCGGUGGUCACGCCUGGGUGGUCCCGUGUCCCGCCCGCGCCAGUCGCUGCUGUGGCUUUUCUCGGCAGGAAACGUGUUUCUCCCCCCCGUGAUGUUCAGACGCUUUCCGGGUGCAAAACGUGGCGUUUCGGAAAAGGAAUGUGGAUGUAUAAAUAUAAAUCCUGCCAGCCACUGGCAGAUUUUCCAGGACUGUGUGUGAUGAUAUCAAGCAGCACAAGGUCACAUUUACCCUUGGGGCUCCCCCUCCUUCAGGCAGGGUCUGGAGGAGCAUGUGGGAACUCCAGUCCCUGCUGAGACCCUGGACUGGCUGAGGAAAGCCCUCCCAGGUUCCUGUCUUGAUCUGCCAUUAAUUAAAAGGUCUCAUGAUGAAGAGAUUUUUUGGAUUUUUCAAGCUGCUCCCUGCCUUCCCCCCCUCCGCUCCCCUGAUCUGCCAUGGAAGAGGCUGUGGCUGUGACUCAGCCUCUGUUUUGCUUGAAUCAGCCUGCCUGUGUUGGCAGCACCUUGGGGUGCAGCUCUGCCCCUGUGCCCAGGGCUCCCCCAAGGGAAUCCCAUCCCAAUGGGCCUGCUGGCAAAGCGAUGGGAUCAGCUGGACCUGUGGCACACUUGUUGUGGGAGCAAGCGUGUUAAUUCAGCCCUGCCCAACCGUCCCAGGCG
RNAcentral lists this long non-coding RNA (934 nucleotides) under Ficedula albicollis (Collared flycatcher). RNAcentral describes it as "lncRNA (ENSFALG00000028321.1)". The record is from RNAcentral. Lineage: Eukaryota; Metazoa; Chordata; Aves; Passeriformes; Muscicapidae.